AGAGUUUGAUCCUGGCUCAGGAUGAACGCUGGCGGCGUGCCUAACACAUGCAAGUUGAGCGAUUUACUUCGGUAAAGAGCGGCGGACGGGUGAGUAACGCGUGGGUAACCUACCCUGUACACACGGAUAACAUACCGAAAGGUAUGCUAAUACGGGAUAAUAUAUUUGAGAGGCAUCUCUUAAAUAUCAAAGGUGAGCCAGUACAGGAUGGACCCGCGUCUGAUUAGCUAGUUGGUAAGGUAACGGCUUACCAAGGCGACGAUCAGUAGCCGACCUGAGAGGGUGAUCGGCCACAUUGGAACUGAGACACGGUCCAAACUCCUACGGGAGGCAGCAGUGGGGAAUAUUGCACAAUGGGCGAAAGCCUGAUGCAGCAACGCCGCGUGAGUGAUGAAGGCCUUCGGGUCGUAAAACUCUGUCCUCAAGGAAGAUAAUGACGGUACUUGAGGAGGAAGCCCCGGCUAACUACGUGCCAGCAGCCGCGGUAAUACGUAGGGGGCUAGCGUUAUCCGGAUUUACUGGGCGUAAAGGGUGCGUAGGCGGUCUUUCAAGUCAGGAGUGAAAGGCUACGGCUCAACCGUAGUAAGCUCUUGAAACUGGGAGACUUGAGUGCAGGAGAGGAGAGUGGAAUUCCUAGUGUAGCGGUGAAAUGCGUAGAUAUUAGGAGGAACACCAGUUGCGAAGGCGGCUCUCUGGACUGUAACUGACGCUGAGGCACGAAAGCGUGGGGAGCAAACAGGAUUAGAUACCCUGGUAGUCCACGCUGUAAACGAUGAGUACUAGGUCUGUCUCUUAUACACAUCU
RNAcentral lists this ribosomal RNA (804 nucleotides) under Clostridioides difficile. Its description in RNAcentral is "bacterial SSU rRNA". It matches the Rfam family "Bacterial small subunit ribosomal RNA", at positions 8 to 839 of the family's 1533-position model. The record is from RNAcentral. Lineage: Bacteria; Bacillati; Bacillota; Clostridia; Peptostreptococcales; Peptostreptococcaceae.